Molecule: ribosomal RNA, 429 nt
Filed under: Gemmatimonadota bacterium
Lineage: Bacteria; Pseudomonadati; Gemmatimonadota
Description: Gemmatimonadetes bacterium partial 16S ribosomal RNA
Rfam family: Bacterial small subunit ribosomal RNA
Source: RNAcentral
UAGGGAAUCUUCGGCAAUGGACGAAAGUCUGACCGAGCAACGCCGCGCGAGUGAAGAAGGUUUUCGGAUCGUAAAACUCUGUUGUUAGAGAAGAACAAGGACGUUAGUAACUGAACGUCCCCUGACGGUAUCUAACCAGAACGCCACGGCUAACUACGUGCCAGCAGCCGCGGUACUACGUAGGUGGCAAGCGUUGUCCGGAUUUAUUGGGCGUAAAGCGAGCGCAGGCGGUUUCUUAAGUCUGAUGUGAAAGCCCCCGGCUCAACCGGGGAGGGUCAGUGGAAACUGGGGGAAUGGAGUGGAGAAGAGGAGAGUAGAAUUCGAUGUGUAGCGGUGAAAUGCGUAGAUAUAGGGAGGAACACCAGUGGAGAAGGCGGCUCUCUGGUCAGUAACUGACGCUGAGGCGAGAAAGCGUGGGGAGAAAACAGG